GACGACGGGUAGCCGGCCUGAGAGGGUGAACGGCCACACUGGAACUGAGACACGGUCCAGACUCCUACGGGAGGCAGCAGUGGGGAAUAUUGGGCAAUGGGGGGAACCCUGACCCAGCGACGCCGCGUGAGGGAAGACGGCCUUCGGGUUGUAAACCUCUUUUGUAUGGGAAGAAGGAUGUGACGGUACCAUACGAAUAAGUCCCGGCUAACUACGUGCCAGCAGCCGCGGUAAUACGUAGGGGACGAGCGUUGUCCGGAAUUACUGGGCGUAAAGGGCGCGCAGGCGGUUUGUCAAGUCAGCUGUUAAAAAUGGGGGCUUAACCCUCAUAUGCUGUUGAAACUGGCAGACUGGAGUGCUGUAGAGGCAAGUGGAAUUCCCAGCGUAGCGGUGAAAUGCGUAGAUAUUGGGAAGAAUACCGGUGGCGAAGGCGACUUGCUGGGCAGCAACUGACGCUGAGGCGCGAAAGCCAGGGGAGCAAACGGGAUUAGAUACCCCGGUAGUCCUGGCCGUAAACGAUGAAUGCUAGGUGUGGGUGUAGAGAUACAUCCGUGCCGGAGCUAACGCGAUAAGCAUUCCGCCUGGGGAGUACGGUCGCAAGAUUGAAACUCAAAGGAAUUGACGGGGGGCCCGCACAAGCGGUGGAGCACGUGGUUUAAUUCGAUGCAACCCGAAGAACCUUACCUGGGUUUGACAUGUACGUGGUACGGAGAUGAAAGUUGAAAGGACUCCGCCUUUCGGGUGGAGAAGCGUACACAGGUGCUGCAUGGCUGUCGUCCAGCUCGUGUCGUGAGAAUGUUGGGUUA
This 806-nucleotide ribosomal RNA is filed under the name uncultured bacterium. RNAcentral's name for it is "bacterial SSU rRNA". It matches the Rfam family "Bacterial small subunit ribosomal RNA", at positions 275 to 1082 of the family's 1533-position model. The record is from RNAcentral.